GACGAACGCUGGCGGCGUGCCUAAUACAUGCAAGUAGAACGCUGAAGGAGGAGCUUGCUCUUCUGGAUGAGUUGCGAACGGGUGAGUAACGCGUAGGUAACCUGCCUGGUAUCGGGGGAUAACUAUUGGAAACGAUAGCUAAUACCGCAUAACAGUAGAUGUUGCAUGACAUUUACUUAAAAGUUGUAAUUGCAUCACUACCAGAUGGACCUGCGUUGUAUUAGCUAGUUGGUGGGGUAACGGCUCACCAAGGCGACGAUACAUAGCCGACCUGAGAGGGUGAUCGGCCACACUGGGACUGGGACACGGCCCAGAAUCCUACGGGAGGCAGCAGUAGGGAAUCUUCGGCAAUGGACGGAAGUCUGACCGAGCAAAGCCGCGUGAGUGAAGAAGGUUUUCGGAUCGUAAAGCUCUGUUGUAAGAGAAGAACGAGUGUGAGAGUGGAAAGUUCACACUGUGACGGUAUCUUAACAGAAAGGGACGGCUAACUACGUG
RNAcentral lists this ribosomal RNA (495 nucleotides) under uncultured bacterium. RNAcentral's name for it is "partial 16S ribosomal RNA". It matches the Rfam family "Bacterial small subunit ribosomal RNA", at positions 28 to 507 of the family's 1533-position model. The record is from RNAcentral.